AAGCUUGCCGCUGCUGCUACUAACUCAUAUGGUAUAGAUACAAAUUGGUAUAUUGAUACAGGUGCUACAGAUCAUAUUACCGGUGAGCUAGAGAAACUUACCACCAAGGAAAAGUACAACGGCGGCGAGCAGA
RNAcentral lists this unclassified non-coding RNA (133 nucleotides) under Oryza sativa (Asian cultivated rice). Its description in RNAcentral is "partial microRNA MIR467 precursor". The record is from RNAcentral. Lineage: Eukaryota; Viridiplantae; Streptophyta; Magnoliopsida; Poales; Poaceae.